CUCAGACUGCUGAAUUUCUCCACUCUCACGGCAUUGCCCAUCAGGAGGGAUUGCAGUUCUGAACAUGAUGGAUCAGAUGCAAUAUCAGAGGUGCUUCAUGCCUGCAGGCCUGUCCCAGGAACAAACGCCACGUGGCUUCCCUAUGACCUGUAAGCUGCCUUGAUCUUCUACCCUUGGAAGAAACAGAAGGAGUGAGAGAGUUAUGUCAGCCAGGACAGCGUUAACUUUAAUCCUACUUAAUUCCAGCUCCACGAUGAAAGCCUCACUUUGAGACUUGAUUGAGUGGGAAACAUAACAAUGCCUGCCCUGCUUAUCUCAUGGAGCUGCUGGGAGGAUCAAAAGUACCAGUGUAUAUGAACGUGCC
This is a long non-coding RNA of Symphalangus syndactylus (siamang), 364 nucleotides long. RefSeq lists it as uncharacterized. The record is from RefSeq and is a predicted model, not a curated record. Lineage: Eukaryota; Metazoa; Chordata; Mammalia; Primates; Hylobatidae.